RNAcentral lists this long non-coding RNA (595 nucleotides) under Dromaius novaehollandiae (emu). RNAcentral describes it as "lncRNA (ENSDNVG00000002130.1)". The record is from RNAcentral. Lineage: Eukaryota; Metazoa; Chordata; Aves; Casuariiformes; Dromaiidae.
AUUGCUGGUAUCUCUUUGAAGSAGGUGGUUUGCCUCCGCAGCCUCGCUUAGCGUGGCAGAGCACCCGCCAGCCCUGCUUCCCUGCGCCCUCCUUGCUGCUGGCCUGCUCCACGCUUGCUCUGGGCUGUGCUUUCCCAGCCUGAGCUCUCCUGUGCUUUCUUAUCCACAGCCUCCUGCGCCCGAGAGCCAUGAGCUGUUCUCCAUCUCCGGAGAGCCAGCGGAGCAGCCCCCCUUCCUCGGCCUCUCGGCUCUGCUAGACGCCGUUGCUCCGAGGAGAAAGUCGCCCAUCGCUGGAGGRCAGCGCUGGCUGCGCCCGGGGUCUCGCCUCCCUCCCAAGGUUUCUUGCCUAGCCAGCAGGUCCUUUCCCUUGCAAGAUUUCGUCUCGGGRAAGCGUGUCCAGGGUUAACGGAGCUGCACCACGUUGGGUCCCAUGAGACAGGCGAGACAGCCCUGUCCUUCCUGCCUGGGCCCGGGGACACAGCACCAUCCUCUUCCUCCUCUGCGUGGGCAGCCCCUCUGCUUUCUGAAACGAAGCYGUGAAGGUCUGCUGCAACGGUAGGUCCUCGGACUUUUCCCUUCUUGCCAGCCGUGUCUC